AUUAACGCUGGCGGCGUGCCUAACACAUGCAAGUCGAGAGGGUUUAGACCCUCGGCAGACGGGUGAGUAAUAACGAGGAAUUUGCCUUUAAGUGGGAGAUACCUCCGAGAAAUCGGAGAUAAUACCCCAUAAUACCGCAAGGUUAAAGAUUUAUCGCUUAAAGAGAAGCCUCGUUCCUAUCAGUUAGUUGGUGAGGUAAUGGCUUACCAAGACUAUGACGGGUAGCUGGUCUAAGAGGACGAUCAGCCACAAGGGGACUGAGACAAGGCCCCUACUCCUACGGGAGGCAGCAGUUGGGAAUAUUGGACAAUGGGCGAAAGCCUGAUCCAGCGACGCCGCGUGGUCGAAGAAGCCUUUCGGGGUGUAAAGACCUUUUUUCAGGGAAGAUUAUGACGGUACCUGAAGAAUAAGCAUCGGCUAACUACGU
This 427-nucleotide ribosomal RNA is filed under the name uncultured bacterium. RNAcentral's name for it is "bacterial SSU rRNA". It matches the Rfam family "Bacterial small subunit ribosomal RNA", at positions 29 to 506 of the family's 1533-position model. The record is from RNAcentral.